UCCAUCCUACGGGAGGCAGCAGUGGGGGAUAUUGCACAAUGGGGGGAACCCUGAUGCAGCGACGCCGCGUGGGUGAAGGAGCGUUUCGGCGCGUAAAGCCCUAUCGGCAGGGAAGAAGGAGGACGGUACCCGACUAAGAAGCCCCGGCUAACUACGUGCCAGCAGCCGCGGGAAUACGUAGGGGGCAAGCGUUAUCCGGAUUUACUGGGGGUAAAGGGAGCGUAGACGGCGACGCAAGUCUG
Molecule: ribosomal RNA, 242 nt
Filed under: uncultured bacterium
Lineage: Bacteria
Description: partial 16S ribosomal RNA
Rfam family: Bacterial small subunit ribosomal RNA
Source: RNAcentral